UCGAUUUAUGUCUCGUAGGUGACCUGCGGAGGGAUCAUUACAAGUGACCCCGGUCUAACCACCGGGAUGUUCAUAACCCUUUGUUGUCCGACUCUGUUGCCUCCGGGGCGACCCUGCCUUCGGGCGGGGGCUCCGGGUGGACACUUCAAACUCUUGCGUAACUUUGCAGUCUGAGUAAAUUUAAUUAAUAAAUUAAAACUUUUAACAACGGAUCUCUUGGUUCUGGCAUCGAUGAAGAACGCAGCGAAAUGCGAUAAGUAAUGUGAAUUGCAGAAUUCAGUGAAUCAUCGAAUCUUUGAACGCACAUUGCGCCCCCUGGUAUUCCGGGGGGCAUGCCUGUUCGAGCGUCAUUUCACCACUCAAGCCUCGCUUGGUAUUGGGCAACGCGGUCCGCCGCGUGCCUCAAAUCGACCGGCUGGGUCUUCUGUCCCCUAAGCGUUGUGGAAACUAUUCGCUAAAGGGUGCUCGGGAGGCUACGCCGUAAAACAAACCCAUUUCUAAGGUUGACCUCGGAUCAGGUAGGGAUACCCGCUGAACUUAAGCAUAUCAAA
This 551-nucleotide ribosomal RNA is filed under the name Cladosporium sp. I-11. Its description in RNAcentral is "eukaryotic LSU rRNA". The stretch from base 197 to 350 matches the Rfam family "5.8S ribosomal RNA". Lineage: Eukaryota; Fungi; Ascomycota; Dothideomycetes; Cladosporiales; Cladosporiaceae. The record is from RNAcentral.